GGCUUGUAGCUCAGGUGGUUAGAGCGCACCCCUGAUAAGGGUGAGGUCGGUGGUUCAAGUCCACUCC
RNAcentral lists this transfer RNA (67 nucleotides) under Salmonella enterica subsp. enterica serovar Heidelberg str. 41566. Its description in RNAcentral is "tRNA-Ile". It matches the Rfam family "tRNA", at positions 7 to 64 of the family's 71-position model. Rfam says of the family: Transfer RNA (tRNA) molecules are approximately 80 nucleotides in length. Their secondary structure includes four short double-helical elements and three loops (D, anti-codon, and T loops). Lineage: Bacteria; Pseudomonadati; Pseudomonadota; Gammaproteobacteria; Enterobacterales; Enterobacteriaceae. The record is from RNAcentral.